AUUAUCAAGAUAUAGAGGGGACACGAUCUUUACCAUGGUACAUGGGGGUUGUCAACUGUAACCAAAGUGUUUGACCUUGACCUUUGACACAGGAAGUUGUAUAUACAUUAUGACACACCCUCUGUUGUUGGUUAAUAUACAUUUCAAGUAUAAAGUAUGAAAUUACAACGGUUUUCUGGAUAUAGAGCAGACACUUUGUUUUGGACGGAUGGACAAACUGAUCACUAUAGGGCAACAUGACAUUCGUCGGGGCCCUCAUAAUUAACAGAUUCGGUUGGCACCUAAAACUGGUACACACGUUUUAAUAGAGUUAUUUCACCCCUAUGAACCAUGCCACCUAAGAUCAGAAAAUAAAGGAUGAAAAGGGUACAUGUAAAGAGUGAAUAAGGAACACAUACGUAGUGAAUUAGUAAAAGGGUAUAAGUCUAGUACAGAAACUGGUACAUAUGCACUAACAUGGUUAUUUAAACUGCAUGAAACCACGAAACCAUGAAAAGAAAUAAAACGAAAUCAUUAAAAAGGGGCAACAUAUAGAAAGCAUAUGAGUAACAGUGUAUCAGUCGAGCGUGGAUACAGGGACAUAUGCUACAACAGUGUAAUUUCAACUCAUUCAAGCAUGAAAUUACACCAAAGACAGGAUAAAUAAUAAAAUUGAAUUAAUAGAAAGGGAGAACGUAUUUACUAUAAAACGAAAAUAAGGAACGAAC
RNAcentral lists this long non-coding RNA (707 nucleotides) under Mytilus galloprovincialis (Mediterranean mussel). The record is from RNAcentral. Lineage: Eukaryota; Metazoa; Mollusca; Bivalvia; Mytilida; Mytilidae.